This 491-nucleotide ribosomal RNA is filed under the name uncultured bacterium. RNAcentral describes it as "partial 16S ribosomal RNA". It matches the Rfam family "Bacterial small subunit ribosomal RNA", at positions 8 to 526 of the family's 1533-position model. The record is from RNAcentral.
AGAGUUUGAUCCUGGCUCAGCCUGAACGCUGGCGGCGUGGCUAAGACAUGCAAGUCGUACGGACGUAGCAAUACGUCAGUGGCGGACGGGUGAGUAAUGAAUCGCUAAUGUACCCCGAUGUCUGGGAUAGCCGGUCGAAAGACCGGGUAAUACCAGAUGAGACCACAGGUAGGCAUCUACCAGUGCUCAAAGGGUCACCGCAUUGGGAGCAGGCGAUUUCGUAUCAGGUAGUUGGUGAGGUAACGGCUCACCAAGCCGACGACGCGUAGCCGGGCUGAGAGGUCGGCCGGCCACAUUGGGACUGAGACACUGCCCAGACUCCUACGGGGGGCUGCAGUAACGAAUCUUCCGCAAUGCACGAAAGUGUGACGGAGCGACGCCGCGUGUGGGACGAAGUCCUUCGGGAUGUAAACCACUGUCAGGGGGAAGAAAGUUCUGAUCUACCCCAGAGGAAGGGGCGGCUAACUCUGUGCCAGCCGCCGCGGUAAUAC